GAGGACCCCGGCCACCUGGCUCUGAGAACUGAAUUCCAUAGGCCGUGAGCUCCAGCAGAUGCCCUAGGGACUCAGUUCUGGUGCCCGGCUGCGCAGUAGCAUC
This is a microRNA precursor of Tupaia belangeri (northern tree shrew), 103 nucleotides long. Ensembl annotates it as microRNA 146b. NCBI's taxonomy places the organism in Eukaryota, Metazoa, Chordata, Mammalia, Scandentia, Tupaiidae. The record is from Ensembl.